Molecule: ribosomal RNA, 468 nt
Filed under: uncultured bacterium
Lineage: Bacteria
Description: partial 16S ribosomal RNA
Rfam family: Bacterial small subunit ribosomal RNA
Source: RNAcentral
GACGAACGCUGGCGGCGUGCUUAACACAUGCAAGUCGAACGGAAAGGCCCUGCUUUUGUGGGGUGCUCGAGUGGCGAACGGGUGAGUAACACGUGAGUAACCUGCCCUUGACUUUGGGAUAACUUCAGGAAACUGGGGCUAAUACCGGAUAGGAGCUCCUGCUGCAUGGUGGGGGUUGGAAAUUUUCGGCGGUUGGGGAUGGACUCGCGGCUUAUCAGCUUGCUGGUGGGGGAGUGGCUUACCAAGGCUUUGACGGGUAGCCGGCCUGGGAGGGUGACCGGCCACAUUGGGACUGAGAUACGGCCCAGACUCCUACGGGAGGCAGCAGUGGGGAAUAUUGCACAAUGGGCGGAAGCCUGAUGCAGCAACGCCGCGUGCGGGAUGACGGCCUUCGGGUUGUAAACCGCUUUCGCCUGUGACGAAGCGUGAGUGACGGUAAUGGGUAAAGAAGCACCGGCUAACUACGUG